RNAcentral lists this ribosomal RNA (497 nucleotides) under uncultured bacterium. RNAcentral's name for it is "partial 16S ribosomal RNA". It matches the Rfam family "Bacterial small subunit ribosomal RNA", at positions 28 to 507 of the family's 1533-position model. The record is from RNAcentral.
GAUGAACGCUGGCGGCGUGCCUAAUACAUGCAAGUCGAGCGAACAGACGAGGAGCUUGCUCCUCUGACGUUAGCGGCGGACGGGUGAGUAACACGUGGAUAACCUACCUAUAAGACUGGGAUAACUUCGGGAAACCGGAGCUAAUACCGGAUAAUAUAUUGAACCGCAUGGUUCAAUAGUGAAAGACGGUUUUGCUGUCACUUAUAGAUGGAUCCGCGCCGCAUUAGAUAGUUGGUAAGGUAACGGCUUACCAAGGCAACGAUGCGUAGCCGACCUGAGAGGGUGAUCGGCCACAUGGGAACUGAGACACGGUCCAGACGCCUACGGGAGGCAGCAGUAGGGAAUCGUCCGCAAUGGGCGAAAGCCUGACGGAGCAACGCCGCGUGAGUGAUGAAGGUCUUCGGAUCGUAAAACUCUGUUAUUAGGGAAGAACAAAUGUGGAAGUAACUAUGCACGUCUUGACGGUACCUAAUCAGAAAGCCACGGCUAACUACGUG